GAUAAACGCUGGCGGCGUGCCUAAUACAUGCAAGUCGAGCGAACGGACGAGAAGCUUGCUUCUCUGAUGUUAGCGGCGGACGGGUGAGUAACACGUGGAUAACCUACCUAUAAGACUGGGAUAACUUCGGGAAACCGGAGCUAAUACCGGAUAAUAUUUUGAACCGCAUGGUUCAAAAGUGAAAGACGGUCUAGCUGUCACUUAUAGAUGGAUCCGCGCUGCAUUAGCUAGUUGGUAAGGUAACGGCUUACCAAGGCAACGAUGCAUAGCCGACCUGAGAGGGUGAUCGGCCACACUGGAACUGAGACACGGUCCAGACUCCUACGGGAGGCAGCAGUAGGGAAUCUUCCGCAAUGGGCGAAAGCCUGACGGAGCAACGCCGCGUGAGUGAUGAAGGUCUUCGGAUCGUAAAACUCUGUUAUUAGGGAAGAACAUAUGUGUAAGUAACUGUGCACAUCUUGACGGUACCUAAUCAGAAAGCCACGGCUAACUACGUGCCAGCAGCCGCGGUAAUACGUAGGUGGCAAGCGUUAUCCGGAAUUAUUGGGCGUAAAGCGCGCGUAGGCGGUUUUUUAAGUCUGAUGUGAAAGCCCACGGCUCAACCGUGGAGGGUCAUUGGAAACUGGAAAACUUGAGUGCAGAAGAGGAAAGUGGAAUUCCAUGUGUAGCGGUGAAAUGCGCAGAGAUAUGGAGGAACACCAGUGGCGAAGGCGACUUUCUGGUCUGUAACUGACGCUGAUGUGCGAAAGCGUGGGGAUCAAACAGGAUUAGAUACCCUGGUAGUCCACGCCGUAAACGAUGAGUGCUAAGUGUUAGGGGGUUUCCGCCCCUUAGUGCUGCAGCUAACGCAUUAAGCACUCCGCCUGGGGAGUACGACCGCAAGGUUGAAACUCAAAGGAAUUGACGGGGACCCGCACAAGCGGUGGAGCAUGUGGUUUAAUUCGAAGCAACGCGAAGAACCUUACCAAAUCUUGACAUCCUUUGACAACUCUAGAGAUAGAGCCUUCCCCUUCGGGGGACAAAGUGACAGGUGGUGCAUGGUUGUCGUCAGCUCGUGUCGUGAGAUGUUGGGUUAAGUCCCGCAACGAGCGCAACCCUUAAGCUUAGUUGCCAUCAUUAAGUUGGGCACUCUAAGUUGACUGCCGGUGACAAACCGGAGGAAGGUGGGGAUGACGUCAAAUCAUCAUGCCCCUUAUGAUUUGGGCUACACACGUGCUACAAUGGACAAUACAAAGGGCAGCGAAACCGCGAGGUCAAGCAAAUCCCAUAAAGUUGUUCUCAGUUCGGAUUGUAGUCUGCAACUCGACUACAUGAAGCUGGAAUCGCUAGUAAUCGUAGAUCAGCAUGCUACGGUGAAUACGUUCCCGGGUCU
RNAcentral lists this ribosomal RNA (1372 nucleotides) under uncultured bacterium. RNAcentral's name for it is "bacterial SSU rRNA". It matches the Rfam family "Bacterial small subunit ribosomal RNA", at positions 28 to 1381 of the family's 1533-position model. The record is from RNAcentral.